RNAcentral lists this ribosomal RNA (666 nucleotides) under uncultured archaeon. RNAcentral's name for it is "bacterial SSU rRNA". It matches the Rfam family "Archaeal small subunit ribosomal RNA", at positions 133 to 788 of the family's 1478-position model. The record is from RNAcentral.
CGGGAAACUGAGGAUAAUGGUUCAUAAUUGAAUAGGCUUGGAAAAGUUUUUCAAUGAAAGGGAUAAGAAAAAUGGUUCUUAUUUGCUAUAGGAUAGGAUCGUGGUCGAUUAUGGUUGUUGGUGAGGUAAUGGCUCACCAAGCCGAUAAUCGAUAGGGGCCGUGAGAGCGGGAGCCCCGAGAUGGGUACUGAGACAACGACCCAGGUUCUACGGAACGCAGCAGGCGCGGAACCUCAGCAAUACACGAAAGUGUGACUGGGUUACUCAAAGUGUUCAUAUUUGAACUGUGGUAGGUGAGUAAUGUUCCCUACUAGAAAGGAGAGGGAAAGGCUGGUGCCAGCCGCCGCGGUAAAACCAGCUCUUCAAGUGGUCGGGAUAAUUAUUGGGCUUAAAGUGUCCGUAGCCGGUUUAGUAAGUUCCUGGUAAAAUUAUGUAGCUUAACUAUCUGUAUGCUAGGAAUACUGCUAAUCUAUAGGGCGGGAGAGGUCUGAGGUACUACAGGGGUAGGGGUGAAAUCUUAUAAUCCUUGUAGGACCACCAGUGGCGAAGGCGUCAGACUGGAACGCGCCUGACGGUGAGGGACGAAAGCCAGGGGAGCGAACCGGAUUAGAUACCCGGGUAGUCCUGGCCGUAAACGAUGCAUACUAGGUGAUGGCACGGCCAUGA